AUGAAAUGGCCAGUGAGUCUAUUUCAUAAUUGUUGCCUUUAGUUAGACAAGUUAAUACAAUGUGACUGUGACACAUGACACAUUUCAAAACACAUGUAACCACAGGCAGCCUGUUUCUUGAGUCACAUGAAUGUAUGCACUGUGUAACCUCCCUCCAGUCAUCCUCCCAGCCGUUAACUUUGUUUUCUCACGGCUGGCCUCUUGAGAAUUUGACUUGCCUGUAUGGUACUUUGUUGUCAAAAAUUCCAGCUAACUGGUGGAAAGUGACCACUGCUGACAGAGACAUCAUCUCUGGAACGAAGAGCUGCAAACAAGAAGAGCACGCACUCGCUCUCCACAGAAGCUGAAGACAAAGAUGGCCACUUGCGACUCGUGUUUCUGGUGCAUCAUCUGGCUGGUGGUGCUGCUGUGCUUCGGCUGGCCCCUCAGCAUCACCUUAGGAGGUCUGUACGGCCUCGUCAGCCCCCUCACGACCUGCCUUGGCCUGGACCGACUCUCUGACCUGCUCCUGGAGGGGGCCAACCUGGGCCGGACGUGUGCGAUGAACAUGAGGCACUGCAGGCCUUUGUGCUGAGAUCAGGACCUGAAAACAACCAGAUCAAGACUUAAAGUGUGACCCUUCAGGACAGUUUAUGUCCUGAUGUGAUUAGCAACUUGUGGUAAUAUGGAAUUAACAGUGGAUUUGACACUUGUAUGGGCUAGUGGGGAAGGAAAUAGGCUUUGGGUUCACGGUCUGUAUUUGCAGUUUAAUUCAUGAUGACAAUGCACGGAGAAGAUAAGAAGGAAAAUAACUUAACAAUGGUGACGCUUAGCCUUGUAAAUGUGUGGAAACUUCUAAUGCAAUUAAAACUGCUGUGACCC
Molecule: long non-coding RNA, 861 nt
Organism: Thalassophryne amazonica
Lineage: Eukaryota; Metazoa; Chordata; Actinopteri; Batrachoidiformes; Batrachoididae
Exons: 2
Source: RefSeq, a predicted model, not a curated record